CAGCAGCCGCGGGAAUACGUAGGGUGCAAGCGUUGUCCGGAAUUAUUGGGCGUAAAGAGCUCGUAGGCGGUUUGUCGCGUCUGCUGUGAAAACGCGAGGCUCAACCUCGCGCCUGCAGUGGGUACGGGCAGACUAGAGUGCGGUAGGGGAGAUUGGAAUUCCUGGUGUAGCGGUGGAAUGCGCAGAUAUCAGGAGGAACACCGAUGGCGAAGGCAGAUCUCUGGGCCGUAACUGACGCUGAGGAGCGAAAGCGUGGGGAGCGAACAGGAUUAGAUACCCGCGUAGUCCCUGUCUCUUAUCC
RNAcentral lists this ribosomal RNA (301 nucleotides) under uncultured bacterium. Its description in RNAcentral is "partial 16S ribosomal RNA". It matches the Rfam family "Bacterial small subunit ribosomal RNA", at positions 509 to 809 of the family's 1533-position model. The record is from RNAcentral.